GAAAUGCGAUAAGUAAUGUGAAUUGCAGAAUUCAGUGAAUCAUCGAAUCUUUGAACGCACAUUGCGCCCGCCAGUAUUCUGGCGGGCAUGCCUGUCCGAGCGUCAUUUCAACCAUCAAGCCCCCGGGCUUGUGUUGGGGACCUGCGGCUGCCCGCAGGCCCUGAAAACCAGUGGCGGGCUCGCUGUCACACCGAGCGUAGUAGCAAUCACCUCGCUCAGGGCGUGCUGCGGGUUCCGGCCGUUAAACAGCCUUAGAAAACCCAAGGUUGACCUCGGAUCAGGUAGGAAGACCCGCUGAACUUAAGC
RNAcentral lists this unclassified non-coding RNA (306 nucleotides) under plant metagenome. RNAcentral's name for it is "partial contains 5.8S ribosomal RNA, internal transcribed spacer 2, and large subunit ribosomal RNA". The stretch from base 1 to 105 matches the Rfam family "5.8S ribosomal RNA", at positions 50 to 154 of the family's 154-position model. The record is from RNAcentral.